AAACAAAAAGCUAAAUAGCAUACAAUUUCGACUUGUACAUUGAUUCACAAAUCUUUGUUUA
This 61-nucleotide transfer RNA is filed under the name Thulinius sp. DVL-2010. RNAcentral describes it as "tRNA-Arg". The record is from RNAcentral. Lineage: Eukaryota; Metazoa; Tardigrada; Eutardigrada; Parachela; Doryphoribiidae.